Molecule: long non-coding RNA, 417 nt
Filed under: Nicotiana benthamiana
Lineage: Eukaryota; Viridiplantae; Streptophyta; Magnoliopsida; Solanales; Solanaceae
Description: long non-coding RNA (NBEN_LNC006594)
Source: RNAcentral
GUCACUACUCUGGUAUCCGUGCCCCAGCAGCAGGGUGUCAUGGUAGGGGUUAUAUGGGUCUCCCAUUUCAUUCAGCUCGUCCUUCAUCUAGCAGUAUUCCAUCUCCUCCCAGAUCUCAGAACCCUUACUAUGCACCUUUGGUUUCUAGCGUGCCUCCUGCGCGGAUGCUUUCAGAGGUCAGUCUAGCAGGGGUAGAUCCAGUCAGUUACAGUCUCCGCGUCCUCCCAUAGCUUGUUUUGAGUGUAGGGACACCCGCCAUAUAGUGAGGGAUUGCCCUAGCUUUGGGAGGAAUGCACCUCCACAGCAUCCUCACCUGAGCAUGCCCAGCAGGAUUCUCAAGUUAUUGUUCCAGAUCCACCUGCCACCCCACCUGCCCAGCCAUCCAGGGGCGAAAAUCGGGGAGAUAGAGGUCGCCCU